Molecule: long non-coding RNA, 559 nt
Filed under: Brassica napus (rape)
Lineage: Eukaryota; Viridiplantae; Streptophyta; Magnoliopsida; Brassicales; Brassicaceae
Description: long non-coding RNA (BNAP_LNC012182)
Source: RNAcentral
UCUUCCCUGAGUAGAUGAGGUUGUUCUCUAUGAUCGCCAGAAGAGGCCCGAAGACAGGGUCUUUCAAAACUUCCUCAUACUCAUCUUUCAGAGCCACCUUUACCGCCUUCAGAAGCGUCCUUCUACAUGUGUUGUUAAUCUUAUCCAUCUGCGUCUCAGCACCUUCUUGAAGAAUGCGUUUAGGAAACUGGUGAGCCAUUCCUAAAAAACAUGAAUUCCAUAAGUUAACAGCGAACCAAAUAUAACCAUCUCACAUUUAACUAGUUUUUUACAAUUCAAAACUACUUAGAAACACAAAUCGAAACAAAAUAUAAUCAACUAGCAAAUGUUUUUACCUCUAAAAUAAAACAGAGUCAAAGUUACGCACCAAAUGUAUAACAAAAGACUACACACUAUCGACAAAUUCAAUUCAAAUAACAAACUCGAUCCCAAAACAAGUAUGUAAAAUUGAUGUCUAAAGCAUGUCAAAGUCAUUAGCUUUUUCAAGUCUAUUAUGAAUUCUAAACCUUAAUAAAGCCGAUACCAAACAAACUAGAACUCAAAAUCACCUCAACAACAA